This 322-nucleotide unclassified non-coding RNA is filed under the name soil metagenome. RNAcentral's name for it is "partial contains 5.8S ribosomal RNA, internal transcribed spacer 2, and large subunit ribosomal RNA". The stretch from base 1 to 120 matches the Rfam family "5.8S ribosomal RNA", at positions 35 to 154 of the family's 154-position model. The record is from RNAcentral.
GAUGAAGAACGCAGCGAAAUGCGAUAAGUAAUGCGAAUUGCAGAAUUCAGUGAGUCAUCGAAUCUUUGAACGCACAUUGCGCCCUGUGGUAUUCCGCAGGGCAUGCCUGUUCGAGCGUCAUUUCAACCCUCAAGCUCUGCUUGGUGUUGGGCCCUGCCCGCUGCGGCCGGCCUAAAGACAGUGGCGGUGCCGCCUGGCCCUGAGCGUAGUACAUCUCUCGCUCCAGUGCCCGGUGGUAGCCUGCCAGAACCCCAACUCUCGUGGUUGACCUCGGAUCAGGUAGGGAUACCCGCUGAACUUAAGCAUAUCAAUAAGCGGAGGA